RNAcentral lists this ribosomal RNA (651 nucleotides) under Cortinarius alboviolaceus. RNAcentral describes it as "eukaryotic LSU rRNA". It matches the Rfam family "Eukaryotic large subunit ribosomal RNA", at positions 1 to 626 of the family's 3401-position model. The record is from RNAcentral. Lineage: Eukaryota; Fungi; Basidiomycota; Agaricomycetes; Agaricales; Cortinariaceae.
UGACCUCAAAUCAGGUAGGACUACCCGCUGAACUUAAGCAUAUCAAUAAGCGGAGGAAAAGAAACUAACAAGGAUUCCCCUAGUAACUGCGAGUGAAGCGGGAAAAGCUCAAAUUUAAAAUCUGGCAGUCUUUUGGCUGUCCGAGUUGUAAUCUAGAGAAGUGUUAUCCGCGCUGGACCGUGUACAAGUCUCCUGGAAUGGAGCAUCAUAGAGGGUGAGAAUCCCGUCUUUGACAUGGACUGCCAGGGCUUUUGUGAUGCGCUCUCAAAGAGUCGAGUUGUUUGGGAAUGCAGCUCAAAAUGGGUGGUAAAUUCCAUCUAAAGCUAAAUAUUGGCGAGAGACCGAUAGCGAACAAGUACCGUGAGGGAAAGAUGAAAAGAACUUUGGAAAGAGAGUUAAACAGUACGUGAAAUUGCUGAAAGGGAAACGCUUGAAGUCAGUCGCGUCGUCCAGGGAUCAACCUUGCUUUUGCUUGGUGCACUUUCUGGUUUGACGGGUCAGCAUCAAUUUUGAUCAUAUAUUGGAGAAAGAUCGAGGGAAUGUGGCAUCCUCGGAUGUGUUUAUAGCCCUUGGUCACAUACAAUGGUUGGGAUUGAGGAACUCAGCACGCCGCAAGGCCGGGUGUCUACACCACGUACGUGCUUAGGAUGC